RNAcentral lists this ribosomal RNA (492 nucleotides) under uncultured bacterium. Its description in RNAcentral is "partial 16S ribosomal RNA". It matches the Rfam family "Bacterial small subunit ribosomal RNA", at positions 29 to 507 of the family's 1533-position model. The record is from RNAcentral.
AGUGAACGCUGGCGGUAGGCCUAACACAUGCAAGUCGAACGGCAGCACAGUAAGAGCUUGCUCUUACGGGUGGCGAGUGGCGGACGGGUGAGGAAUACAUCGGAAUCUACUUUUUCGUGGGGGAUAACGUAGGGAAACUUACGCUAAUACCGCAUACGACCUACGGGUGAAAGCAGGGGAUCUUCGGACCUUGCGCGAUUGAAUGAGCCGAUGUCGGAUUAGCUAGUUGGCGGGGUAAAGGCCCACCAAGGCGACGAUCCGUAGCUGGUCUGAGAGGAUGAUCCGCCACACUGGAACUGAGACACGGUCCAGACUCCUACGGGAGGCAGCAGUGGGGAAUAUUGGACAAUGGGCGCAAGCCUGAUCCAGCCAUACCGCGUGGGUGAAGAAGGCCUUCGGGUUGUAAGGCCCUUUUGUUGGGAAAGAAAAGCAGCAGGUUAAUACCCCGCUGUUCUGACGGUACCCAAAGAAUAAGCACCGGCUAACUUCGUG